This 450-nucleotide ribosomal RNA is filed under the name uncultured bacterium. RNAcentral's name for it is "bacterial SSU rRNA". It matches the Rfam family "Bacterial small subunit ribosomal RNA", at positions 328 to 792 of the family's 1533-position model. The record is from RNAcentral.
UAUCCAGACUCCUACGGGAGGCAGCAGUGGGGAAUAUUGGGCAAUGGGCGCAAGCCUGACCCAGCAACGCCGCGUGAAGGAAGAAGGCUUUCGGGUUGUAAACUUCUUUUCUCAGGGACGAAGAAAGUGACGGUACCUGAGGAAUAAGCCACGGCUAACUACGUGCCAGCAGCCGCGGUAAUACGUAGGUGGCAAGCGUUAUCCGGAUUUAUUGGGUGUAAAGGGCGUGUAGGCGGGAGCGCAAGUCAGAUGUGAAAACUCAGGGCUCAACCCUGAGCCUGCAUUUGAAACUGUGUUUCUUGAGUGCUGGAGAGGCAAUCGGAAUUCCGUGUGUAGCGGUGAAAUGCGUAGAUAUAAGGAAGAACACCAGUGGCGAAGGCGGAUUACUGGACGAUAACUGACGGUGAGGCGCGAAAGCGUGGGGAGCAAACAGGAUUAGAUACCCGGGUA